AUACAGAACCUUCUCACUGCUGCAGAGAGUUAUAUUGGAUGAUGCUGCGUCUCUGACAGACUCUGAUGAGGCUUGCUGGUUCUGACAUUCGUUCUGGCUAAAGCUGACUCCUGAUACUCAAAAGCAAGGUUCCCCUGGUUUCAUAGAAAACAAGAGCUCUUCGGUAUCCCCAUCAGCCAGUUUCCGAGGUGCUGAGAAGCACAGAAACUCCACAGACUACUCCUCGGAGAGCAAAAAACAGAAAACUGAAGAAAAGGAAAUUGCAGCUCGUUAUGACAGCGAUGGUGAGAAAAGUGAUGACAACUUGGUGGUUGACGUUUCCAAUGAGGAUCCCUCUUCUCCUCGAGGGAGCCCAGCACAUUCCCCCAGAGAGAAUGGCCUGGACAAGACACGCCUGCUCAAGAAAGAUGCCCCGAUUAGUCCAGCCUCUAUUGCAUCUUCCAGCAGUACUCCCUCCUCCAAAUCCAAAGAACUUAGCCUUAAUGAAAAAUCUACUACUCCCGUUUCAAAGUCCAAUACCCCUACU
RNAcentral lists this small RNA (526 nucleotides) under Pongo abelii (Sumatran orangutan). RNAcentral describes it as "processed transcript". The record is from RNAcentral. Lineage: Eukaryota; Metazoa; Chordata; Mammalia; Primates; Hominidae.